RNAcentral lists this small nuclear RNA (26 nucleotides) under Arabidopsis thaliana (thale cress). Its description in RNAcentral is "snRNA_16559". Lineage: Eukaryota; Viridiplantae; Streptophyta; Magnoliopsida; Brassicales; Brassicaceae. The record is from RNAcentral.
AGGGUCCAGCGGCUGGAAGAGCACCG